RNAcentral lists this ribosomal RNA (253 nucleotides) under uncultured bacterium. RNAcentral describes it as "partial 16S ribosomal RNA". It matches the Rfam family "Bacterial small subunit ribosomal RNA", at positions 524 to 776 of the family's 1533-position model. The record is from RNAcentral.
UACGUAGGCAGCGAGCGUUGUUCGGAGUUACUGGGCGUAAAGGGUGUGUAGGCGGUUCUUUAAGUUUGGUGUGAAAUCUCCCGGCUCAACCGGGAGGGUGCGCCGAAUACUGAGGGACUCGAGUGCGGGAGAGGAAAGUGGAAUUCCUGGUGUAGCGGUGAAAUGCGUAGAUAUCCGGAGGAACACCGGUGGUGUAGACGGCUUUCUGGACCGUAACUGACGCUGAGACACGAAAGCGUGGGUAGCAAACAGG